UGCAGUCGAACGAUGAACCACUUCGGUGGGGAUUAGUGGCGAACGGGUGAGUAACACGUGGGCAAUCUGCCCUGCACUCUGGGACAAGCCCUGGAAACGGGGUCUAAUACCGGAUACGACCAUCUUGGGCAUCCUUGAUGGUGGAAAGCUCCGGCGGUGCAGGAUGAGCCCGCGGCCUAUCAGCUUGUUGGUGAGGUAAUGGCUCACCAAGGCGACGACGGGUAGCCGGCCUGAGAGGGCGACCGGCCACACUGGGACUGAGACACGGCCCAGACUCCUACGGGAGGCAGCAGUGGGGAAUAUUGCACAAUGGGCGAAAGCCUGAUGCAGCGACGCCGCGUGAGGGAUGACGGCCUUCGGGUUGUAAACCUCUUUCAGCAGGGAAGAAGCGAAAGUGACGGUACCUGCAGAAGAAGCGCCGGCUAACUACGUGCCAGCAGCCGCGGUAAUACGUAGGGCGCAAGCGUUGUCCGGAAUUAUUGGGCGUAAAGAGCUCGUAGGCGGCUUGUCACGUCGGUUGUGAAAGCCCGGGGCUUAACCCCGGGUCUGCAGUCGAUACGGGCAGGCUAGAGUUCGGUAGGGGAGAUCGGAAUUCCUGGUGUAGCGGUGAAAUGCGCAGAUAUCAGGAGGAACACCGGUGGCGAAGGCGGAUCUCUGGGCCGAUACUGACGCUGAGGAGCGAAAGCGUGGGGAGCGAACAGGAUUAGAUACCCUGGUAGUCCACGCCGUAAACGGUGGGCACUAGGUGUGGGCAACAUUCCACGUUGUCCGUGCCGCAGCUAACGCAUUAAGUG
RNAcentral lists this ribosomal RNA (794 nucleotides) under Streptomyces sp. 3-29. RNAcentral's name for it is "bacterial SSU rRNA". It matches the Rfam family "Bacterial small subunit ribosomal RNA", at positions 56 to 866 of the family's 1533-position model. Lineage: Bacteria; Bacillati; Actinomycetota; Actinomycetes; Kitasatosporales; Streptomycetaceae. The record is from RNAcentral.